GCGCCAAGCCCUCGAAGCCGCCCACAAAGGAUGGGGAGUCUCGUGUAUCAUCGGAGUCGCCGGAGCCGGCCAAGAGAUCGCCACCCGUCCAUUCCAACUUGUCACCGGGCGCACGUGGAAGGGAACCGCAUUCGGCGGAUGGAAAUCCGUGGAAAGUGUGCCGAGACUCGUCGACGACUACAUGAACAAGAAGCUGCUCAUCGAUGAAUUCAUUACUCAUCGCUGGAACAUUGACGAUAUCAAUACGGCGUUCGAUGUUCUUCACAAGGGAGAGAGUCUGCGGUCGGUGCUGGCGUUCGAGAAAAUAUAACUUCACCUUAUUGCGUUCAAUUUUUGUUUCCACCUACUACUACGAAUACGUUGUAAAUCCAAAUAUAUUGUUCUUUAAUGAUACAUUUGCUUCCAGUAUGUAAUUUUUUCUGGUCAAAUCUUUUUUACUAACUUUUGAAGAUAUUGAAAUAAAGUUUGUUUGUAUUUAUUUUGACUAGGGCUUCCAUUGCAGUGAGACGCGAAAUGCAAGCUUUGAAUUUGUUGCCAGGAAAAAUACUGUGAUUUCACAAAUUUUUGCCAUGCCUUCUUAAAGGCGCACGUAUUUAUUCAGAUGGGUCUCGGCGCGCAAAAAAGUUCAUGGUAGUUUUUUAGAAACACUUCCUUUUCAAAAUGCAAAUGCUUCGUUUGUGGUGAAAAAAUACAUGGUGUAUGUUACAAUUGUCACGAGGCAAGGUUUUUCAGGCUGUUGAAGGGAUUGAAGCAUUGGGGUCAAGGGUGUCGGUUUUUCGAUUUUUCCAGAAAAUCGAAAAAUCGAAAAAUGACACCCUUGAGUGGGGUUAGGAGGGGAUAUGGUCGAGGUACUGUAGGAUUACUGUAGGAUUACUGUAGUUUUGUAAAAAUUGACUUUUCGCAUUUUGAAAAGAUAUUGGUUUGAGGUUAGUAGGGAGAUAUGGUUGGGUACUGUAGUAUUAUAGUUUCAGAAAGUGAGUUCCUAGAAUUUUCUAGAAAUUCAGGAAAUAUCUAGAAUUUUUUCAAUCAGUAAGCUACUAGAACUUUCUUGGAGGUCCGCAAAACCCCAGGAAAAAAGUCUAACUGUAAAAAAAGCUUAGUACUUUACAUUUUAUUGAAACUGUUAUAACAUUUAGGCCAAAUAUACCACAGACUUUUAGAGCAAAAUCCUUAAUCGGAAAUAAAAACGGAAAGUUCAAUAUAUAAGUUCAGUAUACUAUCAGGUCUAUCAUUUCUAAUAGAGACUACAUCAAGGGUGAGCGGCAAUUGACGAUCGUCAUUCCAAAUUUUCUGCAAUUCGGCAAUUGCCGAAAUUGUUCGAUUUCAGCCCACAUAUCUGUUUUAUAGCGUUCUUCAGUUAUUUUUUUAAUUCGAUUUUCGAAAUUGUGUCCCAUUACAAUUGUUCUAUUUUCCCACGAAUGACAUAUAUAAUCCUCUGUACAUCACGACAAGAUAUAUCGAUUUUAUCUAAACGCUGAAACCAACUGCACAGUAAACGAAUGAGACAACCUGUACAUACAUCCUAAUUACUGACAUGGUACUGCCGCCUCAUUUAAACGUUUUCUUCCUUCUUUGUUUUUAUUUCGAAAUGUAUUCUAUAGACACUAUUUUAGUUUUGAAAAUUUAUAAUUUACGCAUUUCUCCGCAUUUUUCCUUACCUUCUUUUUUUCAAACUAUAUUCCAAAUAGGUAAAAAAUGUUGUAAGGUGACCUGCACUAGGUCAAAAGAAGCUAUAGUAAACAAAUCUUUCUGAUGUCCAGUAUAUAUAAAAUUUCAAUUUUUUCUAAUGGUAUUUGGAAUUUGAAUAGUUGUGUAGUAGCUUAAUCCCAAAACAUUUUAAUGGGUUAUGAUAAAACAUAAUAAGUAGUCUUGCAUCUCUUUAUUACAGUCACCGAAUUUUAUCUUUUCAAAGCCAACAAUAACCUGUACUUUUAUUAUAACAAAAAAUUCAGAAUCAGUUUACAAAUCUACAAUUGGAAAUGAUAAGACCGCUGCAAGACAUAAUUAUCGAGAAAAUUGCAAAGCUAAUAGACAAUGGUGAGAGUUUCUUUUCUGGUCUUUCUGGUCUUCUGGUUAGGAAUACGUGACAAUCUCAUGACGUCACGUAUUUAUUCUUUAGUAAUUACGCUGCUAAAUGAGUGUGACGUCACAUGAAUGGAAAUGCGGUUGACUAAUGGUCGGAAAUUUGUAAAAGGAAUGUUUUGAAAAUAUAUUCUCUAUUGUUUAUUUUGCGUUGGUGACAGUUUGAACAAAUGUGAUGUUUGCUCAUCGGCCGACUGGAAAUUAGAACUCAGGUUGAAAACCCUAACCUCACAAGUGAAGUCGAAAAACUUAACCCCGUAAUUUUUUUGUAUACCAUAGUAAUUUUUCGAUCCAAAAAAUUUAGCUGCCCCGGUCUAGGUUCAACAAAGUUAUGACGUUUUGAAAGUGCCGAAAAAAAUUCCUUGACCAAACCCUAGCGAAAAAAACGUUCAAAUUUUCAAAAAAAAAAGUUUUUCUAAAAAUUGAUAAAAACUAUUGUAGCUUAUCCAAAAAUGUGAAAAACAUAUAUCAUGUACGUUUUUUCUCCCCACGGGCAAAAAACCACACUGCUUGAUCUACAUAUCUAGAGAAAAAUUCCAAAAAGGGUUUUCUUGAGAGUUAUGAGCUAAAACUUGCAUGGCAUAUGCUUUUCACUGUUUUAAAUCAUUUACACAUAUUUUUUUCUCUUUUCAGAAAAAAAAUUAUUUUUUAAAAAGGUGUUUUAGCCACUUUCAAAACGUCAUAACUUUGCUGAACCUGGACCGGGGCAGCUAAAUUUUUUGGAGGGAUCAUUAUUUUCACUCUUUCAUCGAAAAAUUACUAUGGCAUGCCAAAGUCCGGGGUUAAGUUUUUCGACUUCCCUUGACAGUGCGAAAACCACAUCAGCACCAGGGCUGUGCGGCAACUGGCAACCGAGUUGCCGGUUGCCGAAAAGUUGCCGAAGUUUCGGCAACCAAGAGUUGCCGAUUGCCGAAAUUUUUUUUAAUCGGCAACUUCGGCAAUUGCCGGUUGCCGAAAAUUUUGAGGUUCGGCAACUUCGGCAAUUGCCGGUUGCCGAAAACUUUGGAGUUCGGCAACUUCGGCAAUUGCCGAACUUUUUUCGGCAACUUCGGCAACUGCCGAUAUCAUUGUCAAACAUUCUGUAGCUCAGAAAAAGCAUUCGGAGAGCCUGAAAAAUGCUAAUAUUUCGCCGUAAACGAGAAAACGACCAUUAUUUUUUUUCCAAAACGCUCAAAACUAUGUAUUCAACAAAAAAAACUUUAAAACUUGGUUGCCGGUUGCCGAAAAGUUGCCGAAAAGUUGACGAAAAUUCGGCAAUCGAAAGUUGCCGGUUGCCGAAAAUUUUUGGGUCCGGCAACUUCGGCAAUUGCCGGUUGCCGAAAAUUUUUGGGUUCGGCAACUUCGGCAAUUGCCGGUUGCCGAAAAUUUUUGGGUUCGGCAACUUCGGCAAUUGCCGGUUGCCGAAAAUUUUUGGGUUCGGCAACUUCGGCAAUUGCCGGUUGCCGAAAAUUUUUGGGUUCGGCAACUUCGGCAAUUGCCGGUUGCCGAAAAUUUUUGGGUUCGGCAACUUCGGCAAUGGCCGGUUGCCGAAAAUCCCGGUUGCCGCACAGCCCUGAUCAGCACUCGAGAAAAUCACUAUGUUCUACUGCUCGAACUCGAGUGAUUUUUCACCAGUGCUGGUGUGGUUUCAAAUCACUCGAGGACUAAACUUCUCUAAUCAGACUUUUCUAUAAAUGGUUCGAAAGAGGGGGCUGGCUAAGGGAUGAUUGUUGUGGAGUUAUUUUUCCAAUUUUGGGUGAAUAUGAAAUAAGAAGUACAGAAAGUUUAUCAAAAAACAAUCAUUCAGACAACUUCAACAUGCUUGUUCGACCUCUGGAUAGAACAGCCAGCGACAAAAUGUUCAGUGAGUUGAUGAAAUUAAAAUUCGGACUUUGCGAAGAGGCACUGACUCGAUUUGGACAUUUUUUCUGCUUGAAGAAAGUCGACUUAUUCAAUUACCACGUUAGCAAAGAACUUGUUGAAGCGAUUAGAUGUCAAAAUUUGGAGUCACUUAGCCUCGGAAACUUAGAUUGGGUCAAACGUGGCAGGAGAUUCAUGAACGGUAAGAUUGCAAUAGUUGAGGUGAAAGAAACAUAAUUUGCAGGUUACGAUAUAGUACGUUUUUUGGAAAGUUUUCUCAACGAAGAAUCUCGUAAUGUACUUCACAGUUUAGAAAUCACGAUGGAGAGUCCAUUUGCCAAGGAAUGGCCAGCAAAGGUUACAUUUUUGUAUUUCAUUGUUGUCUGUUUUCCAAAUUUUACAGUAAGCGCCACAAAAACCACAGUUUCUGGUUUUUUCGACAACCAACAGCAUUAAUGCAUUUUAAACUUUGAAUAAUUGUGAGCCUUUAAUAGUGGAGUAAUGUGAUCAAGCCUGCACUGGCAGAAAAUGGGUCAUAGUAACCAGAUAUAACAAUAAUAACAUUAUUCUCCCUUCAAUUUUGAACAAAAAUAGCAAACACCUGAAUUGAUUUUAAAUUACUGAUUAUCAUCUCAAAUCAAAUUUUUUAAAAACAUUUUUUACUUGAUCACUACGAGUCAACCUUAAAAUAAAGAAAAAGGCCACGUUUUUAUUAACGUAAAUGUUCCAAAAAAUGCGGGGUAUAAAAUGAAUUGUACCAAAAGUUGUUUUUGAAUUAAUUUUUCUACAAACACAUUGUAUACUAAAUUGAGAAAAGCCGCACAUAACUCUCAUAUCAAUGUUGUUUGAUGACACCCUCCGUUCAAACCAGCAAUUUUUGAUUUGAGAUGAUAGUGAGUAAUUUAUAUUCAAUUCAGCUGUGUGCUAUUUUUUCAAAAUUGAAGUUAGAUUAGUGUUUUAACUGGUUAGAAAGUGCAAAACUAAUAGAAGCUUCAACACUAUAGGCUUCGUAUAUAUGUUAAUACCCUAUUUUAUUAAAAGGCAUAUGGUAGACUCCGUCCUUAUCUAGGUUUUUUUAAGCCACACUAAAACAGGAUUCCAAAGGGAACAGGAUUCAGUGGGCGGAGACAAAAAUUAAUAGGUGGAGUAGCGCCAGUGGGAAAAUUAUUAAAAACCACUCCUUUGGUCCAAUAAUGACCAAAUAUCAUGCUUAAACUUUUCAAAAAAAUUUUGAAAUUGUUUUAUUUACUGUCAAAAAGGGGCAAUUUCUCCGAUUUUGCCACUCAUCAUUUUGGAAGUCGACCAAAAAAAAAAUUUCGAUAUUUUUUAUGUUUUAACUUUAUUUAAAUUAUUUGUAUUAAAACACUGUAGGGGUCGAAACAUGCGACAUUUCUUUAAGUUUUCUCAAAAUCUCAUACUUUGCAAGAUGUUGGGAAUUUUCCAAAACUUUGACCGGAUUAUUAUGAUACUUGGUUGUUUUGGAUCAUUAUAAGUGCAUUUAGACAAAAUACCCACUGGCGCUACUCCACCUUUAAGAAAAUAAGAAAUAACUUCACACUUUUUUUCAACAUGAAUAACUGUCUUUUUUUUUGGAAACGUUUGUAAAUUUUUGUUCAGAUAAAUAAUAUGCUGCCCGCUUUGAAAUGCUUUGCAAUCAAUGGACAAGUGAAUGACGAUGAGUUUUCCCAUCUUUGCAUUGGUUUUUCCAAUUUACGUGUGUUGGAUAUUAGUAAUACAAACAUCAGAAACCUUUCCGGAAUGAAGAUGCUAGUUAAUUUACAAAUACUUUCAAUGAGAAACUUGGACAUUAACCAAACAUCUGAUUUAAUAGAACUAUUUUCAUUAACCAAGUUAACCGUUUUGGAUGUAUCGCAAGAUAAGUGAGUUUACGGGUUUUGAUGGAAUAAUUAACAACUUGGUUUGCUGGGGAGUAUUGCUUAUUUUAGAUGAGGUCUAAUACCAGUUUAGAUGCGUUUUGAAAAUUUCGAAUUUUGCUGCGUAACCAUGGUGUGGAUUUUUUAACAAAAAUUCAAAGAAAAACAUGUUCCAAGAAUUAAUUCAUUUUCAACCAUAGCGUGAAAUGUGGUAUUUUUUUAAAUGUUCAAAGCUUUUCUCCGUUUUGUUUCAGCCCUUUUCCAGAUUUGUCUCAGUUUUUUUUUAAAUUUUCUCAAUAAAUUAUCAAAGAUGACAUAUAUUGCAGCACAGCUAACCAAUCAAAAGUUGGUCAAGUGAUUUUAACAUAAUGAAAAACAACGCCGAAGAUGAGUAGAAAUUGUAAACUUUAAUCAUUGUUAUCUGAAAAACUCCUUAGAUUUUUUUUCUGAAAUCUUACACAUUUUUUCAGGCAGAAUCAUAUCUUCAAAUUUGAUAUAGUUUUUGAUACCCUUACCGAGUCAUUUUUCGAGAAACGCGCCAAAGUUUGCAAAACACAGUAGAAAAUAGAGUGUCAGCUCUAGUAAAAUCCUUCUAACUGAAAAAUAGGUCGGUAACUUUUCUGAAACUUCACGAGUUGGUCAUUUAGAUAAUUGUCUACAAUCCUAGUAUAAUGUCAAAAUCUUUCUAUGCACAGUUUUUGAGAAAAAAAAACCUUUAAAAAGGUGUGUGUUUAGAAUUUUUGAAGUUGGUUGAGCCAAGUUACAAUGCCCUGUUAUUUCAGAUAAACAAUGAUUAAAGUUCACAAUUUCUACUCAUAUUCGGCGUUGUUUUUCAUGAUGUUAAAAUCACUUGACCAAUUUUUGAUUGGUUAGCUGAGCUGCAAUAUACGUCAGCUUUGAUAAUUUAUUGAGAAAAUUUGAAAAAAAAACUGAGACAAAUCUGGAAAAGGGCUGAAACAAAACGGAGAAAAGCUCUGAAAAAUUAAAAAAAAAACCACAUUUCACGCUAUGGUUAAAAAUGAAUAAAUUCUUGGAAAAUGUUUUUUUUUGAAUUUUUGUCAAAAAAUCCGCACCGUGGUGACGACUGAAAUUAUAGCAACAGUUAAUGUUUCAGGCAAAACUCCGGUACCAAAAUAAUCUCGACAUAUCUGGAGUGCCGAAAGAUUUUGCUGGACCUAAAGUUUAUUGACUGCUCAAGAACUGAUAUAAAUAGAGAGUUUGCUAAAACACUCUUGAGCUCUCAUCCUUCAAUUGUUCACGUGUCCGCAAUAGGUUGUGCUAUUUUCAGACAGUAAAAAUAUGUCGUUUUGCAGGUUGCGAUUUGAAAAACUUCUCUAAAUGUGGUACUCGCAUUUUCUAUUGCACGUCAAUCGAAUCAUUGUUCAGAAGCUUAAUUGACUUCACAAAUUUGAAAAAUGAGCUAGCAACUUGUAGAUGUUUAGAAGAACUGCACCGACAACUAAAUGCUUCUCGUAGCACCGAAAACUUGCAUUACUCGAGUUUAUUGAAACUGGUUAUUCAAACUAUGAACAUGUUCACGUCGAGAUCAACCUUAAUUAAUGGUCUUCAGUGCUUGAUUUGGAUAAUAAAGUAAGUGGCAAAAAUUGAAACACGGCACAGCACUCUACAUAGAAUUGAAGUUUAUUUGGAACUCUUGAAUUAGUUGUUAAUAAAUCGUGCUUUUGAAAAUUGCCAUUAACGUGUAGAGAAAUGUUUUUCCUACAUGUUCGAUUUUGAGGAUUUGAUGAAUUGCUGAAAAAAAUUAUGGGGAAACAAGUCAAAAAUUUAAUAAAAUGGAAAUAACAAAACAUACCAACGUUGACCUUCCACUUGUGAUUUGAUUGCCUAAAGGUGGAGUAAAGUCGAAAUGUUUUUUUCUUUAAGUGAUUGAAAAUUUUUGCAGACAAAUGUUUCAAAAAGUGGCAAACAGUGAUUCAAAGAAAAUAUACCUUAAGGAAAAGCCUCUUAGUCAAUAAAAACCGAACAAUUCAUUCAGACAACGCGAAAAUAUCAAUAAAUGACGUCACACAUUUGCGCGCGAAUCCAAAUUUAAUUCAGUAAUUUCAUAUUUUUAUUUUAGAAAAAUUGAAAAAAUCAUAAGAAAUUUAGAACAAAUUUUUAAAUCUUUUUACAGUUAUCUUCGGUCGAUGCUGUCCAUUUUCUAUCACUUAAAGAACAAAUUAUUCCGACUUUACUCCACCUUUAAAGGUGGACUACACCCUAUGGGGAAAUUGCUUUAAAACAUGCCUAUGGUACCAGAAUGACCGAAUAUCUUGAUAAAAAAAUUUAAAAAAAAUUUCUAGAUUUUAUAUGGUUUUUUGAAAAUUGGAAAUCUCAGUUUUCACCUAAUUCCUAUUUGAAUUUCCGCCAAUUGGAUUUGUUCGAUGUGGCGCACAUUUUGGAUUUGUCUUAUUUAUUUAUUUCAUUUUCCAAUUGAAAAAAUAUAAAAAAUAAAGAAAAUCAGUCUAAUAACGAGAAUAAAUAAAAUUAAUAAAGUGAAAUAAUGCAAGUGCGCUCCAUCGAAAAAAUCCAAUUGGCGGAAAUCCAAAUAGGAAUUAGGUGAAAACUGAGAUUUUUUCAAUUUUCAAAAAAUCAUAUAAAAUCUAGAAAAAUUUUUUGAAUUUUUUUAUCAUGAUAUUCGGUCAUUGUGACCCCAUAGGCGUGUUUUAAAGCAAUUUCCCCACAGGGUGUAGUCCACCUUUAAACUGUGGUAGCACGAGAGUACUCGAUUUUCUCCGAAAUGAGAAGCACGUGGUGCCAUGCUGUCCCUUGAGAACAAAAUCCUGUUUUAGGGAGCAGUCCGUAGCAUAACAUCACAAUACACAUUUUACAUUAUUUUUCAGCCACAAAAUGGAUCAAAUUGGUCCAGUUAAUAUGUUUUUCACACUUAAAAAACUCCUGAGCUUAGCUGAUUUGUUGCCGGAAACGUAUUCAAAUGCGGAAAUAAUACGGUCAAAUCGAUUAUAUUGGGAUGCAAUUGUUAAACUUACAAAUUCGGAAAACACCAAUUUUGAUGAAAUCUGCUGGACAGCAAUGAACAUGAUGUCGAAAGUAACCUAUGCAGCUGGGUCAGGUGCAGUAUUCGUUCUAUGCAAAUUUUUUUCACACAUGAGCAGAAAAGAAUUUCUGCGCAUGGCAAAGGUUUCGAGAAAUGUUUCCAUUUCUUUCAGGCAUUUUUCUGAUCUCGCUUCUUUGCAGCUUUGAACUAAGGUUUGUGCGCGGAUUUUACUUUGUUUAGAAUACAUCGUAAGAAAUCAACAAAAGUUUGGAAAAAAAUCCGUCCAAAAAAAUUUUUUUUGGUCGGUCGUCAAAAAAACUUCAAAAAUUUUUUUUUUCGAAAGUUUUUGAUUUUUAGUAUGAAAAUGAUGUAACCAUGUGUACACUAUUUUUAAACAUACAAAACAUUUGAGUUUGAAAUUUGGAUCUCGAGAAAUACUCAAAAAACUCAAAAAUUCUUCGAAAAAAUUAUGUUUUCUAUUAUCAUUUGAGUGUGACGAACUUAGUUAAAAUGUUUUGUAUUUGUAAAAAUAGUUCACACAUGACUACAUCAUUUUUGUAUGAAAAAUCAAGAGUUUUCGAAAAAAAAAUUUUUGAAAAAAAAAACAUUUUUUGACCACCGACCAAAAAAAAAAUUAUUGGACGGAUUUUUUUCCAAACUUUUUCUGUUUCCUUACAAUGUAUUCUAAACAAAGCAAAGUCCGCUCAUAAACCUCAAUUCAAAGCUGCAAAGAAGCGAGAUCAGGAAAAUGCUUGAAAAAAUUGGCUUCGAGUUAGGGCACUCCGCGUGGUCAAAAAUUUUUGUGACCAUAUCAAAAUGAAAGAUCAUAGUUGAUAACAUAAAUUCCCACAGUUUCAAAAAAAUCGAUAAAAGGCGAAAGAAGUUAUGAUUUUUGACCCGGAACUUAUUUGGAGACCUAAUAUGUAAGAUUAAUUGUUUUGUAGGGAAAAAUAACUCUUUGUGCAUCCCGUGUGUGUAGAAUCAGAUUUCUGAAACUCUUCUCAACUUGCUAGAAACUGCAAUUGAAAUUGAAAUUUUGUAAGGAAUUUCCUAAACUGUAAAAUUCAGGAAUGCGUUCAAAAGCUGGGAUUCAGAACGAGCGUACAUUGUUUUCUCAAUUCUUGCCAUAUUUAUGAAUAAAGCUAAGAACACAUCAACUCAGGAUGAACUUUGGAAUUUGAUUAAUAUGUCCAUGAUGCAAAUUUAUUGUCGGUUAAGCCAACCGAAAAUUUAUCCAUUUAUCUUGAAAAUUCUAUUCUUCAACGCGUUCUCGAAACUUCAAAGGAUGACGGUCCCAUUAUUUGGGCACUUUUAACUAUCAAAUUAAUAUGGGAAAGCAACGAUGUUAACCGGAACAAAAUAAGAGAACUAAACCUUCAUGCCCAUUUAAAUUGUAUUAAUAAUCAUACAACAAUUGUUAAGCAUUUUAUAGAUAUCGUUAAACAUUUGUUUAAUUAGUCUAUUCGUAAUUGCAGUGGGACCAAACAUUUAUUUGUACCGCGUUGUUAUUGAAGAACAAUAACAUAUUUAUAAAUCCAAUAAAAUAUUAAUUAAUUAGCAAAGAAGAGCGGAGCAUCGUAGGUAUAUUAGGGUGAGCAAAAAGUAUUUGCAAAAAUGUUGAAUUUUUUGGAGAGAAUGGUUAUUCAAAGCGAACAAGAUUCAAUGGGUAAUACAUUGACCAUUAGUGUUUAUGACUUCUUGCCAACAGAACGGAAGUGGAGCAAUACCCUCCGCACGGAACUCCUGAGAUUUGGAGGGAAAGAAGUCGUCCAACCACGUUUCGACAACCUUUCGAUAAUGAAACUUCUGCCCGACAAGGUGAUUCUGGAGAGAGCGGAACAAAUAGUAGUCAGUAGGAGGCAAGUCCGUUAAAUACGAUGGUUAAAUACGUUAAAUACGAUAUCUCGCUGCCGCGGCUUGUGUUGCGACUCGGAUCCCCUUCGGGAACCCUCCGUGCAACUCGUCAAAUUCGGACGUAUUCAACAUCACUCAUUUGUCGAGAUUAAUAUCAUUUAUCAUAUACUUUCCACUGUGAAUCAUUGUAAACUCGUAAAUCGACUCAAAUACUCUGCGUCUCCUCGCUCUGCACACUCUCUCGUCGACGAUCUACCGUACUCCUGUGACGACUCUUCGUGCCGAACCCAUCAUGCCGCUCAAGGCUGCCGCAGCAGGAAAUUCACUUCAGUCGGGACGACUCCGGCCUAAAAUCGUGGUCGCCACCUCGUGCUCCUAAACAAAAAGAUGAUAUGAUUUCAUCAUCCGAUGAAUAUGGAAUUUCUUCCCGUCUACUCAACCUGACCACCAGCUUGAACACGGUUUAACACUUGAAAUAGGCCACAGCGCCAUGACGUCACUCUUUAUACGUCAUACAAUGAGACUGGCCAACUUGUUGCCAGUAUAAUAACGAUCAUAAACAAGGUUUUAUGCCUUCGGGCUUUUGUCCUUGUUCACACCUUUCGGAAUAAAAAUAUAUUAAAUAAUUAAUACCCUUUUGGAAUCUUUUAGUAAAAUUAUAAUAAAUUCCUUUUGCCUAAAUUGUGGCAUUCUUGAUAGGCAUUCUCACGAUCUCAUGGUCCCGUAAUAGCAAAGUCUGGAAGAAUUCUCUCGGAAAAUGACACCCUUACUGUCCCACCAAUUGAGAGAAGCACUAUUUUCUCGUGAAGUUCUUUUUUGAGGUUUCACGGUUUCCUCGACAGGACCUACUGUUUCUUUCUGGUUUGGUUAUCAUACCAUCCCCAUUUAUCAUCUCCAGUAAUAAUAUCCUUAACCCAGUCAGUCGUUCGUUUCCUAGUGAGCAGCGAAAAAGAGAGGUCACAAAGCAAUUUUUCGGAGAAUCGGACAAUUUUUGAGGAAGGAGUUGACCGAACUUUGACACCCUUCCGGUUUCGUGGAGAUGGUUGAUGAUGGUUUUUUGGGGAUGCUUGAGAGUCGCAGAAAGUUCGCGGUUCGUUGCUCUUGAAUCAUCUUCCAGGGCUCUCGAAAUAUCCUUAUCGGUAUCCAAAAGAGAGCGACCGGAUAUUGGUUCUUCAUCGAAAUCGUAGUUUUUUUCGUGAACUUUUCGAACCAGAACUUCAUGGUAUUGUAGGUGACAGAGUUCUUGACUAACACUGCACACAUGUUACGACGAGCUUCGUUGCACUUGCAGCCUUGGGGGAAUUCGUACAGAAAAACUCCUCAGAAGGCGUGCCGUUCGGCGAGCAAAUUCUCGGUCAUUUUGAACAGCACCCAAAAUUUUUAUCCAAUGUAUUAAACAUGCAUAUUACGUACUAUACAAAUAAAAAACAGAAUAGGAAUAAAACGAGUUAACGCUGAGAAAUGAAGAAACAUACAAAUUUUCCAAAGACAUGUUACUCAACCUAAUACGACAAUUGUCGAGAUUUCUUAUUUCAUGUUUGUGUAUUUCAUGCGAUGAUUUUAAACUAAAGUUGAACUAUCAUUCAUUUAUCCAUUUCCCGUAUUUCCUCUAUUAGUCUUGCACCCCUACGGAUCAAUUGAACAGUAGGUUUGCAUGCAAUACUAAUAUAGGAAAUAUAUAUUAAAAAAUUGAAUGCUUCUGGUCAUAAAAAUUUCAGAUUUUUGAAAAAUUUCCAGAAUUCUUCCAAACUUCUUUUAAAAUUAGAAAAGUGAAUUGGCAAACAAACAUAAUUUCUGCCUGAUAUCACCAUCAUGUCUCAGAGCAGCCAGAGUACGUCACUGAGACUGCAUAAAGAAUCUUAAGAAUCUCAAGAUUUCUGAAAUUUCGCAGCUUAGUCUUUCAAAUUUGACCGUUUCUCCGCAUGGAAUUCCAAAUUAAACAUGACUCGUUAAAAACCACCGCUCUCCCCUUGAGAUGGUUCCGUAGUUAGAAAUGGUAUUUUCAGGCCUAAAAACAUAAUAAUGUUCCACACUUCUUUGUUUUUAUGAGUUAAAAUUAAAGUCAAUAACAAUUUUUAUAUACCGAUUAUUAGUAAGCAUGUCAUACUUUGAUGCCAUACUAUCAGAAACUGCAAAACUAAUAGAGAGUGCAAAACUUUAAACAAGUUUUUUCAGUUAUUUUUUGUUGGGUAUCGACGUGUAUUGACCCAUGACGUGGCUAAUAAGAUCCCACAAUUGGACGAUGUGAAACCGAAGAACCGUGUGCAAAGGAUUGGUACAAUCCGAACAGAUGAACAGUCACACUGGUGUUUUCCGUAAGAAGCCUCAAAGAUGCAACCACCGAAAUGAAAUAUGAGGGGCGCCCCCUUGUACCAUAUUUUGUAAAAUUCUUCAGGAAGAAGUCUCCUGAAAGAUUUGUCAUCAAUGAUGAGAGAUGUUGGGUAGUAGUUAUGUAAUAAACUACUUGUCUUCUCCUUUCAGUACAUAAUAUAUUCCUUCAGUUCAUCACAUAUUCGUAUUAAAAAUAACAAAACUUUUUUCCCUUUAACGACAAAAAUAGCGUAAAAGACAUAUUAUUCGACUCAAAUGAAAAAAUUGCCUGAAUCGUGACCAUGUUCUUUCAGUGUAUCAUCAAUUUUAACUUUUAUUGAAAAAAUUCAAAGAAAAAUAGAUGCGGGUCUCGCAGCGAAAAAAGCGAGAAAACUAAUGCAGAGUGCAAAGCUAAUAGAGGCACAAAAUUAAUGGAGAGUGCAAUAUCAUUUUUCGAUGAGUGAUUUUAGAUGCAAAACUAAUAGAGGAAAUACAUUAAUUGUUGAAACUUUUUACUUAACUAUUGAACAUUUUGGCCUCACAGGAGUGGUUUUUAACAAUUUCCUCCUAGCCGCUACUCCACCUUAACGGAAAUACGUGAGAUGCAACGGGAUUUGGUUACAAAGCAUGUUCUUUUAUUUUUUUCACUUAAAUUCUUAACUGGCAGCGUCUCAUCGUAAACAAUAUCUCCAAAUGUGUUUAACUCAUGUUUGUUUAUUUCUCUUCUUUUAGUUAAAUAAACUCAAAUUCAAUUCAAUGUAUAGUUUAAUUCAUUAUAGCAACAAACUAAACUUACCAUAAAUCUUGUUUGUUGGAAAAGAGAUAAAAUAAUAAAAUUUUCACAACAUUGCAUUAAAAUAUUCCCAGUCAAGGAUACUUAAAUAUUAGGUUGAACCGGAAGUCUUUCUGACUUGAUUUGCUUUUCCACCGCUAGCCUCAGUUGCACUUCGGUGUUCCCUCGUUGCUAGGGUAUAACAACGAGUAAAGGAACUUCAUCUUAAAAAAACACCUCAUUCCCUUCCCUCUAUCCUGAGUUCAGUUAAACGACGAUGUAUGUACCUAGUGCUCUCCACAUCCGACAUGGUUUAAUGUACCUUUUUUUCUCUCAUACCACGAUGAAGGAUUUGGAGAGUCUUCUUGAGAAUGUUUAUCAUUCACAUGUCCCCCACUAUAAUACCAUACACAAUUGGUUCCAACAUUCCGAGAAGGAAGACGUCUCUCUCGAGGACCAAGAGACCCAUAAAUUGGAUUUGGAUGAGUUUAAGAAAGCCGUGGCAACGGAUCCUUUCCAAGUCACCCGAGAGCUGUCAACCGUGCUUGGAUCUUAUCAAUUCAACAUUGUGCGGGGCUUGGAAGCUCCCGGAAUGAAUAAAAUUAUGGGUCGAUUCAUACCUCACACUUUGACACAAGCCAACCAUGAUUUUUGAGUGGAUGAUUCCUUUUCCCUCGAGGGAUAUAGAUGCUCCGUUGAAAUUUUCCGUUUGGCCGCAAUUUUGGCAAAGUUUGGAAAACUCAUUCAAAACUCCGCUCCAUAUGUACAUCACGGAACUGUUUUUUGAUAGACAACAAUUGAAUAAAUCGGGUUUUCGAAACAUUUUUCAUCAAUUUGACUACAAAAGUGUAAAGUUCAAAAUAAAGAAAUCCAUUGAUCCACAAACCCGAAUCACUCGAAUCAAUGAAAUUCAUGUAUCCUAUAGGAUGGUCCCAAUCUUUUUAUGAAUCGGCAAACAUGAUUUUUUACAUGAACGUGCGGCAAAUUUGCCGUUUGCCAAGCAAGGAAAAUUUUGAAAUUUGUCGCACACAAAAUGCUAAUACAAAUUUUAUCCAAAACUAGAGACUUAAUGAAAAAAUUUGUGUUUCUUUCAUUUCAUAUUCAAGAAGUCCAAGGCAAAAACCAGUAAACUUACAAUUAGUUUUUCCAUUAAUUUCGGCACUUUUUGAGCUCUAAAAAUAUUUCGAUUUAGCAAGUAUGACGGCUAUGGCAAAUUUCCCGAAUUUGCCGCACGUGCGUACACCUCUGAUGUGUAUAUUAUUUUUGCGUCUUUGGUACAUAUUUAAUGUAGGUAGUCUUCCCUCGGAAAAUAUUUCUAUCAAGUUUCACCUCAUUGUUUAAACAGAAACAUAAAAAAAACUAUCACUCAUUUUGAGGUCUUGGUCUUGCAAUGAGAUUUUCGAUUAAUGACAAUUUGUACAUGUCGGUUUCUGAUAAUAUGUUCAAAAAAUAUUGUAGUUUUUAUAUACAGGGUGGCUCGUAAUUAUGGAUACGCAGUCCCGCGCUCAUAAAUACUAAGAAUAACAUUUAAAUUAACUCUAGAAUAACAUAUUUGUUUUCCGAUAUUCUAAAGAGCUAUUGAGGUGACACUUUCAUUAGAAAAAGUGGUGCAGCACUAAUGGAAAUGCAGCACUAAUAGAGAAAAUACGGUGAUUGAAAACAGUACGUUUAAGUGGUCAACAAUCAAACCGGAAAGCUCGGAAUGUGCCCGUUCGACUCAGCGUGGCACUUAUGAAAAGGUUAUGCAUUUCAAUAACAAUGUCACUUGAUUCCACUGUUGCAGUUCUCUAUUUAUCAAAAAUUGGUGUUAUUAUCAUGUAUAUGGGCAGAGAUAUGAUAAAAUCUGUGAUCUCUAUCCAAACUUGUACUUUUUCUAAUGCCAAACAAUGCGCCACGAACGCACUGGAAUCGAGAUUAAUCAUUUGAACAAUUAUGAGAAAAUUACUUGUGUUUCUAAAAUGUACCGCAUUUAUUUUAAAAAGAUCGAUCUGUUGUAUAACUUGAAAACCCCAAAUAAUGCUAUCUGCCAAAUUUGGCAAACCCUCAUUUACUAGCGUGCUCAUUCACUUAAACUCUCAAUCCCUAACGAUGGCUCAAUCCCUUUUAUGCUCAUUUACUAACUUACACGCUUUUACUCAUUCACAGGCUACUACUCAGGCAAACACUCAUUGACUACCUUUGCUCUCUGACUACAUUCAGAUGAUCUUUGACUUAUCUAAUAAAGUAAACAUAUGUAUUUAUACAAUAUCUGAUUAAAAUUUGUAAUCCAAAGCCCCCCCCCCCCUUACAAAAAUUUCAAUUUUUUUUGAAAACUUUUCAAAAUUUGAUCAGAUGCUAUAGUAAAAGGCAAUGUUUGUGGUUUUUUCUAGUUUUGAUGUUCUGCACACGAUUUCAGACAAAAACCGGAGGUAUAGUAGAACCCCAAAGUUUAAGAAAACUCACUCAUUGCGGAUGCUGAUAUCUCCGUUGAAAAGUUUUUUAUGACAAAGUGAUCAACUACAAAGUUGUUUAUCAUAAUCUAAAAUACAACUUUGUAGUUAAUUGUUUUUUACCAAAAAAUUUGUUGGUUGAGAUAUAAACAGAAAAAGAAUAAGAAAAUUCGGUACUUAUGGGUUUCGUUCCCCCCAGUAUGUUUUCCAUAAUUUUUAAUUGAGACGUGAACUUUUUUUCAUUCUCAGGCUUAGGAAGAUGGUUUCCUAAGCCUGAAAAUGAGAAUAGUAUCAAAAUAAACUUUCACGUGUGGAUUAAAAUUAAAAAUUCAGUAUUGAAUAAUUAAAUGAACAUUUUGGAGGGAACGAAACCCAUAAGUACCGAAAAUUCAAGCACGAAGGUGCUGAUCUUUACACAACUUUAUCUCGACAAGCAAAUUUUUUGUAAAAAACAGUUAACUACAAAGUUGUACUUUAAAUUAAGAUAAACAACUUUGUAGUUGAUCACUUUGUCAUAAAAAAUUUUUCAACGGAGAUAUCAGCAUCCGAAGUUAGUGCAUUUUUUGAGCUUAGGGGUUCUACGAUACCUCAGGUUUUUGUCUGAAAUCGUGUGCAGAGCAUCCAAACUAGAAAAAUUACAAACAUUGCAUUGUUCUAUAACAUCUGAUCAAGUUUUGAAAAGUUAAAACAAAUUUGAAAAAAAUUUUGAAAAUUUUUGUACCUUUGAAUUACAAAUUUUCAUCAGGUAUUGUAGAAAUAUGUUUACUUUAUUAGAUAAACGUAGUCAAAGAUCAUUUGAAGGUAGUCAGAGAGCAACUGAAGGUAGUCAGAGAGCAAAGGUAGUCAAUGAGUGUUUGCCUGAGUAGUAGCCUGUGAAUAAGUAAAAGCGUGUAAGUUAGUAAAUGAGCAUCAAAGGGAUUGAGCCAUCGUUAGGGAUUGAGAGUUCAAGUGAAUGAGCACGCUAGUAAAUGAGGGUUUGCCGCCAAAUUCGUUUGUGUGACAGCGAAUUCUUAAUUGACAAGACAGCCAGGAGUCCAUAUUUUGACAAGACAAAAAGUUUUACGUGUUAAGUGAUAGAAAAAUGUGUCAGUUAUCAAUAAAAUAAUCUUUAUCUCAAAAUUUUCCAUGCUCACAAAAAUCAAGGUUUUGUGUGAGCAACUAGAGUAUCAAUAAUUAUGAGCCACCCUGUAAUAAUUGUCCUCGUUCAUUUUACACAACUUUUCCAAGUGGCUCACUGUGUAAUCCGAGCUCCAUAACCACUUUUUCAGUAAACUUUAUGUUUUUAUAUGCCCUCUUCAGCGUUUUCUGCCAAAGCUCAGUCAUAUUGGUUAUUGGUGAGAGUUUUGGCUUCAUUGAUUUGACCUACAUAACAAGUAUAAAAAUACAAAGAAUAAAUAGUAAAAAUAAAACUGAUAGACAAAGCUUUAGCGAGUUGUUUUUUAUAAGAGUUAAAUUUACUUCAAUCACAGUUUUAGUUUUGAAAGUUUGUCAGAUUCAGCCCACUGCGUUUCUUUAGUUCAUUUUGUUGUGGUAACUAAAAACGAUAGCAUCCAUCGUAAUGCACUAAAAACCACUUCUAGGCAAGGAAAUAACAAAAAUUCAAAAGAAAUUCACACAUUUGAAAUUGCACCUCAACAAUUGUUUUUUGAAAAUUUUAUACACAACUCCAUUUUUCAUUUUUAAUCCAACUUAAAUAAUCAAUCCGAAAGUCUUUUACAUUAUAAUUCAUAAAUCGAGUUUUUCCAGACAUAUCAAUGUAUUUUGUUUUACUCCCAAAAAUGUUAUAUUUGAUCUACCGCGCGCACACGAAUAUUGGUACUAUGCAGCGGGAGACGCAGAUCGAUAUGCUACGCUGCCUGCGAGGCACACUGUUUAGUGUCCACUACGACAUCCGUGAAUGUGUCGUUAUUUUUUCUCGUCUUACACAUUUUUCUAUUUGCUGUAACUUCUGUGACUAUGGUUCUUUAAAUUUUGAACCAAUCUUUUUUCUUAAGAUUAUAUUGAGAUUUACCUAAUUAUAUACGAACUCUAAUUUUUUAACAUUGUUCUAAAAAAUGAUAUAUAGGCCAUAUAUUGAACGUUUUGCAUCCAUCAGUUUCUUUUUUGUUUCUAAAAUUUUUAAAUUGGACUUCAAUUUAAUACAUGCAAUUUCGUAAAUUUAACUUAGAAAGAAAGCUAGAAAUCCAGUAAACCUCGCCGUUCUCUUAACACUAUGAAAGUUUCCCUCGUCGUUUUUUUCCGAUAUUUGAAAAUUACUUCGGGGCUCGUCUCUUACCCUAAUCUUUUCUGCUAUUUUCAUCAAAGUUUUGAUCUAGAUUGGCUUUUUUUCCUAAAAACGGAACUGAAUAGUGAACGAGAUAAUUUUUAAAACAUAUAUAUAUAUAUAUAUAUAUAUAUAUACAAAAUUUGUGAUAAAUACAAAUUACAAACUAAUAGUUUUAUUGAUAUUCGUAUUCAAGUUUACUAAUAAUUUAGAUUCCUCAAAUUUCGGCAAUGACAGUUUGAGAGAAUAUAUUGUUCGUAAUUUUUGGAACAUCGAAAAUGUAGUUUGAUAUAGGUUGAAAAUUGCCGGAAACUUUUUGAAAUUUUCCAAAUGAAUAUAGGGCUUACUUCACCAAUGCCUCAUAUCAGAUCUAGAACAAUAAAUGCUUUCAGUUGUAGAAAAAUUGACAGAAAAUUUAGGUACUCGACAUCUUAGAUACCGUAUUUCCUAUAUUAGUCUUGCCCUAACGGGGCAAUCGAAAAUUAGUCUUGCAUGGAAGACUAAUAGAGGAAAUACGGUAUUUUCUGAUUUGAUAGUACGAAUUAAGUUAACUUAAUUACUAAUGUAAGAAAUGAAUAUAUAUACAUUGAAAUGCAUUCUAUUAGGUUGUGAAAAAAGUUUUCUCCGUUUGAAAAUUUUACCCCGGAAAGUUGUCCAGCUCUCAGGACUAUUCUAUAAUAGAAUGUUGUAGAACAUCCUAUUUUUAUACUCUCCAAAAAAAUGGUUGAUGACGGUUUUUUGGGGAUGCUUGAGAGUCGCAGAAAGUUCGCGGUUCGUUGCUCUUGAAUCAUCUUCCAGGGCUCUCGAAAUAUCCUUAUCGGUAUCCAAAAGAGAGCGACCGGAUAUUGGUUCUUCAUCGAGAUCGUAGUUUUUUUCGUGAACUUUUCGAACCAGAACUUCGUGGUAUUGUAGGUGACAGAGUUCUUGACUAACACUGCACACAUGUUACGACGAGCUUCGUUGCACUUGCAGCCUUGGGGGAAUUCGUACAGAAAAACUCCUCAGAAGGCGUGCCGUUCGGCGAGCAAAUAAUUUGUAGAAUAAUAAUCUAACGCGCCUUCCAUCUUAUUAGAUCACCUUUUUCUAAUUAGAAAUGCCUGUUUCUAAUAAGAAAUGCUUAUUUUCUAAUUAGACCCUCAAACGGGGUGUCUGAGUAGUUUGUGGUGCUUUCUUCUUCCAAGGUGGAAUACGCUCAGUGGGGAAAUUGCUUUAAAACACGCCUAUGGUACCACAAUGACCUAAUAUCAUGAUUUAAAAAAUUCAAAAAAGUCUCUAGAUUUUAUAUCAUUUUUGAUAAUUCAAAAAAAAUCUCAGUUUUCACCUUAUUCCUAUUUGAAUUUCCGCCAAUUAGAUUUGUUCGAUGGAGCGCGCCUGCCAUAUUUUUUAAAUUAAUUUUAUUUAUUCUCGUUAUUUGACUGAUUUUCUUCAUUUUAUAUAAUUUUUCAUCGAAAAACGAAAGAAAUAAACAAGACAAAUGCAAAAUGUUUGUUAACAAGUAAUUGAAAAUAGGUAAAACUGAAAUAUACUAAUUUCAGGCUUGUUGUCGGCGGAACUCAAAUUAUCACAGUUUUACGCAUUUUCAGUUCCUUUUUGACAAAAAUUUUGCAUUUGUCUUGUUUAUUUCUUUCGUUUUUCGAUGAAAAACUAUAUAAAAUGAAGAAAAUCAGUCAAAUAACGAGAAUGAAUAAAAUUAAUUAACUAAAAUAAUGCAAGCGCGCACCAUCGAACAAAUUCAAUUGGCGGAAAUUCGAAUAGGAAUUAGGUUAAAACUGAGAUUUUUUCAAUUUUCAAAAAAUCAUAUAAAAUCUAGAACAUUUUUUUGAAUUUUUUAUCGUGAUAUUCGGCCUUUGUGGCCUCACUGAGCGUAGUCCACCUUUAAAUUUAAAUUCAUUGUGUAACAUAUCCAUCGUCUGAAAACUUUUUUUCGAACACCUUCGUUUUUGCUGGUAGUAUAAAAUAAUCAAAUAUUUUUUUGUCUAACUAAAUAAUUUUAUACUGCUCGGCAUUCGAAAAUUAUGAGCAUUUUAUCAAUAGAUACUUCUAACAUUACUCAAAUUCACGAUAAACUAAAAAUUGAAGUUUUGUUGUUUAUAUUGCACGAGUGCUCCUUUUUAUCCAAUUAAAAAAUUUUCCUACAAAAUGAUGUCGUUCCUUACGAAUACACUUUUUUCCUUGAAACUGAACUUGCACCAUUUUAAUUUUCAGAUGACAUCUGUGAGGGCCCAAAUUCACCAACAGCUUUACAAGACUAAAACGAUUGCACCGGCUCUAACAAUCACAAAUGCGGUCACUGGAGGUUUUGAUGAACUCGGAGAGUUUGGUUUGGACGACGUUGAGGUAAUACAUUUAAUAGAAAGUUAUGAGUUUAAAGCAUUUAUUUUUCAGAAUUUGAUGAUUUCCAAUUCGCGACUGACAACAUUCACCAAUUUUCCGUUUAUGCCGAAAUUAAAAACUCUGGAUGUAUCCUGCAACAACUUCCAUGGCGUGAUUGACAUGUCGAUUCUUGCACGCAAUGCUCCAAGACUUAAAGUACUCAUUUUGGAUGAUAAUCAGAUUCACAUUGGCUCGAUUUCCUCGCUGAAUGGCGUCCGAAAGCUCGCCAAUCUUUCAACUACAUUGACAGGGGAUGCAUCACCAGAGCAUUGUGAUCGAAAUGAGAAGAUUAUUGCAAGAGUGCUGCCAAAACUGAAGAUUCUUAAUGACGAGGUUGUAAAGCGAGACGAGGUAUUUCAAUUCUUUCACGUUUUCAAAAGUAUUUAAAUAACUUUCAGAUCAUACCUGCAAGGCCGCCGUCGCCUGGAGCGCAAAAGCUCCACUCUCGAUUGAAACGAUCCAAGUGGCUCCACCGAAAGCCCACGAAGUUCGCGUUAAAGUAUGUAAAUUUAGUUUUUUUGUUGAUUUGUCUUAAAUAGCAUAUCAUAAAAAUAUGGUUUUUUUUUCGAUCAAAACUUUAGCUCAAAAUUCACAUUUUAAAGUAAACAUUAUCAUAUUUCAAUUUCAGAUCCUCUACACCUCAGUCUGCCACACGGACGCCUACACCCUCGACGGACACGAUCCGGAAGGUCUCUUCCCUGUCGUUUUGGGACAUGAAGGGUCUGGAAUUGUCGAGAGCGUCGGAAAAGGAGUCACAGGAUUUGCUCCAGGAGAUCACGUCGUUCCGCUCUACGUUCCUCAGUGCAAAGAAUGUGAAUAUUGCAAGAAUCCAAAGACCAAUAUGUGCCAGAAGAUCAGAGUCUCACAGGGAGAUGGAUUUAUGCCCGAUGGAACGUCGAGAUUCACUUGCAACGGAAAACAGUUGUUCCAUUUUAUGGGAUGUUCCACGUUCUCCGAGUACACUGUUGUGGCCGACAUCUCACUGUGCAAAGUGAAUCCACAAGCUCCACUGGAGAAGGUUUCGCUUCUUGGAUGUGGAAUUUCAACUGGUAAGAAAGCUUGAAAUUGUGGUAGCUUCCUUGGAUUAUUAGUCGCAUACCGAAAAUUUUCAACAAAAAAAAAUCAAUUUCUACAAAAUCUCCAAUUUAACCAACUUUUCCACAGCUCAGGCGGCUGUGACACUGAAAAGACGGAACUUUUUGCUGAAAUUUGAUCUUUGUUUUCUGAAAUUUUGAACCGUCAUUAAAAAAAAACAUUUUCGAAAAGUCUCGUGUAUGAAAUUCGUUCAGUUGGAAUGCAUAUUUUGAGUAGAGCACAAUAGACAAAUAUUGAUCAGUUACUUCAUUCAUUUUUUAAAUCUAAAACACGAUAUCGUAACUAUUUCAGGAUACGGAGCCGUCUUGAACACGUGCAAAGUAGAAGAAGGGAGUACUGUAGCCGUAUGGGGACUCGGUGCAGUCGGAUUGGCCGUUAUCAUGGGCGCAAAGGCUGCCGGAGCCAAGAAAAUCGUCGGAAUCGACUUGAUUGAAUCGAAAUUCGAAAAGGCCAAGAUGUUCGGAGCCACCGAAUGCAUUAAUCCGAAGAGUGUGGAGCUUCCGGAAGGAAAGAGCUUCCAAUCGUGGCUCGUGGAGCAAUUCGACGGAGGGUUUGACUACACUUUUGAGUGUAUUGGAAAUGUGCACACAAUG
This 22482-nucleotide small RNA is filed under the name Caenorhabditis elegans. RNAcentral describes it as "Unclassified non-coding RNA Y50D4C.14". The record is from RNAcentral. Lineage: Eukaryota; Metazoa; Nematoda; Chromadorea; Rhabditida; Rhabditidae.